Molecule: ribosomal RNA, 497 nt
Filed under: uncultured bacterium
Lineage: Bacteria
Description: partial 16S ribosomal RNA
Rfam family: Bacterial small subunit ribosomal RNA
Source: RNAcentral
GAUGAACGCUGGCGGUGGGCCUAAUACAUGCAAGUCGAGCGAACACAUAAUGAGAUCGCUCUUUUAAGGGUAGCGGGUGACGGAUGAGUAAGACGUACAUAAGCUACUUAUUUUACUUGGAUAACUUCGUAAAGCCGCAUACACUACCAGAUCAUACGUUGUACGGCAUGAAUCAAGAGUUAAUGACAGCUUUCCUGUUAGUAUGAGAUGGUGUCGCGCCGGAUUAUCUAGUUGGUAAGGUAACGGCUUACCAAGGCAACGAUGCGUAGCCGACCUGAGAGGGUGAUCGGCCACACUGGAACUGAGACACGGUCCAGACUCCUACGGGAGGCAGCAGUAGGGAAUAUUGGACAAUGGGCGCAAGCCUGACCCAGCCAUACCGCGUGAGUGAUGAAGGCCUUCGGAUCGUAAAGCUCUGUUGUUGGGAAAGAAAAGAAGCAUGUGAAAAUCUCGCUGUUUUGACGGUACCCAAAGAAUAAGCACCGGCUAACUUCGUG